CAGCCGCCGCGGGAAUACGUAGGGUGCGAGCGUUAAUCGGAAUUACUGGGCGUAAAGCGUGCGCAGGCGGCUUUGCAAGACAGAUGUGAAAUCCCCGGGCUCAACCUGGGAACUGCAUUUGUGACUGCAAGGCUAGAGUGCGGCAGAGGGAGAUGGAAUUCCGCGUGUAGCAGUGAAAUGCGUAGAUAUGCGGAGGAACACCGAUGGCGAAGGCAAUCUCCUGGGCCUGCACUGACGCUCAUGCGCGAAAGCGUGGGGAGCAAACAGGAUUAGAUACCCCUGUAGUCCCUGUCUCUUAUAC
RNAcentral lists this ribosomal RNA (301 nucleotides) under uncultured bacterium. RNAcentral's name for it is "partial 16S ribosomal RNA". It matches the Rfam family "Bacterial small subunit ribosomal RNA", at positions 509 to 807 of the family's 1533-position model. The record is from RNAcentral.